UUCUCGGCUUGAUUUCAAGAAAUUUCCUUUAUUUCCUGUUAUGCCCCUGAAGAACAAUCAGUUGAUUGUUGUCCAUCGGACAAUCUUUUUCAUCUAUACCGUAAGAAUACUUUUUUUCAUCUCUUACAAUUCUACCCUUUUUAUACAAAUCAGUAUUUUACAAUCCUAAAUAACAUGGCUCCACUGCUCCGCUUUCUGUCUCGUUUAGUCUAUUUCUGACCUUUGUAUGUCUCUUAAUUAAUGAAUAUAAUCAUUGCUCACGUCAUUCUCAGCCUGAUUUCAUUUUUUGGUGAUAUGUCUCUGUACCAUGUAUAUUAACCAUUUUCUAUUUAUUACAGGACGACCAGUCUUGCAGGAGACAAUGCUUCGAAUCACAAGAUGAUUGCCCUCCGAAAAAGAAACAAAACAAACAGAAGCAUCGCAAUACCGAAGAAAUUUCCUUUAUUUCCUGUGAUGCCCCCGAAGAACAUCUUGCAGGAGACAAUGCUUCGAAUUCACAAGAUGAUCGCCCUCCCAAAAAGAAACAAAAAAAACAGAAGCAUCGCAAUACCGAAGAAAUUUCCUUUAUUUCCUGUGAUGCCCCUGAAGAACAUCUUGCAGGAGACAAUGCUUCGAAUUCACAAGAUGAUCGCCCUCCGAAAAAGAAACAAAAAAAACAGAAGCAUCGCAAUACCGAAGAAAUUUCCUUUAUUUCCUGUGAUACCAAUGAAGAACAAUCAGUUGAUCGUUGUCCUUCAGGACAAUUUUUUUCAUCUAUGCCAUUGAGUGAGACUGAAGUUCUUAAGAAUCAAAUAUCUGUCCAACUUCCACUAAAUCAAAAGAAGAAGAGAGUAACACCCAAAUCUCCUUCCACGCAAGUCAAACGAAACAAACAGAUAGUAGCACCUGAUUUGGCAAAUGAUGAAUCUAUUUUAUCAAGCAGUUCCAAAGAUUCAGAAACGUCAGCUGUUAACCGAAAUAUACAGAUAGUUGCACCUGAUUUGGCAAAUGAUGAAUCUAAUAUAUCAAGCAGUUCCGAAGAUUCAGAAACGUCAGAUUUAGAAAGUGCUCUUAAGAAACAACUUGCACAUCUUCAAACUGAAAUAGAGAAAAUUAGAAAAACAAAAAAGGACCGAAAGACGAAAAGUGUCAAUGUGCGUCGGAAUAUCUUCCCAGGUAAUACCACACAACAAUUAUAUCUAAGAACCAAGUUUUCGUGAAACUCGGUAUUCAGGGGUAUUUUUCAUCGGGAAACUCGAAUUUUUAGUGAGAUUUUCAACAUUUCAAAAUCCAAGAAGGCGGCCCUGCACAAAAAUGCGGUCCUGGCUCCUGGAACAUCAAUUUCUGUAAAACUUGGUGAAAAAACCGAUUAAGACAAAUAAGAUGUUGUCUUCUCAUCAAUGUUGAAAACUAUGCGGGGCGGUGGCAGCUCGCGGAGCGAGUCGCAAUUUCAUCGCAAAGCGAAGAACUGGGGUCCAGGGGCACUCCCCGACUAGGCGUGUCAGCUGGCAAAGCGAGCUAAUCACGACUAGUUAAUAUAUAUAAAGCUAUCAUACCAAGAUUUCAUCGACACUUUACAAGAAAACUGCCGGAGCAAUUUCCUUUAAACUUGGCAAAAAUGAAGAACAGGUACCCAAACAUGUCUGAAAAGUCAAAUUUUCAAAAGGUUGCCACCGAAGCCUGAAAUAGAGAAAAGUUGUUUUUCCCUAUACUAAUGCAUUGGGGAUACGAGGUUGUUCAACCGCACCCCACCGAACAGGUUCAAUCCUGUCGCGUGACAUCAGUCGCAGCAUCAUACACGAAAUUUCAGGUUUUAGGGGGUAUUUUUCGACAAAUUUUUAUGAACCUUG
This 1829-nucleotide long non-coding RNA is filed under the name Bemisia tabaci. Its description in RNAcentral is "lncRNA ENSSSA3NGG001821". Lineage: Eukaryota; Metazoa; Arthropoda; Insecta; Hemiptera; Aleyrodidae. The record is from RNAcentral.